UACGUAGGCAGCGAGCGUUGUUCGGAAUUACUGGGCGUAAAGCGUGCGCAGGCGGUGAGCUGUGUCCGAUGUGAAAGCCCCGGGCUUAACCUGGGAAUGGCCGUUGAAACUGGCGAACUGGAGUGUGGCAGAGGGGGGUGGAAUUCCGCGUGUAGCAGUGAAAUGCGUAGAGAUGCGGAGGAACACCGAUGGCGAAGGCAGCCCCCUGGGCUAACACUGACGCUCAGGCACGAAAGCGUGGGGAGCAAACAGG
Molecule: ribosomal RNA, 253 nt
Filed under: uncultured bacterium
Lineage: Bacteria
Description: partial 16S ribosomal RNA
Rfam family: Bacterial small subunit ribosomal RNA
Source: RNAcentral